RNAcentral lists this ribosomal RNA (793 nucleotides) under uncultured bacterium. Its description in RNAcentral is "bacterial SSU rRNA". It matches the Rfam family "Bacterial small subunit ribosomal RNA", at positions 8 to 797 of the family's 1533-position model. The record is from RNAcentral.
AGAGUUUGAUCCUGGCUCAGAUUGAACGCUGGCGGCAGGCCUAACACAUGCAAGUCGAGCGGAUGAAGAGAGCUUGCUCUCUGAUUCAGCGGCGGACGGGUGAGUAAUGCCUAGGAAUCUGCCUGGUAGUGGGGGACAACGUUUCGAAAGGAACGCUAAUACCGCAUACGUCCUACGGGAGAAAGCAGGGGACCUUCGGGCCUUGCGCUAUCAGAUGAGCCUAGGUCGGAUUAGCUAGUUGGUGAGGUAAUGGCUCACCAAGGCGACGAUCCGUAACUGGUCUGAGAGGAUGAUCAGUCACACUGGAACUGAGACACGGUCCAGACUCCUACGGGAGGCAGCAGUGGGGAAUAUUGGACAAUGGGCGAAAGCCUGAUCCAGCCAUGCCGCGUGUGUGAAGAAGGUCUUCGGAUUGUAAAGCACUUUAAGUUGGGAGGAAGGGCAUGCACCUAAUACGUGUGUGUCUUGACGUUACCGACAGAAUAAGCACCGGCUAACUCUGUACCAGCAGCCGCGGUAAUACAGAGGGUGCAAGCGUUAAUCGGAAUUACUGGGCGUAAAGCGCGCGUAGGUGGUUCGUUAAGUUGAAUGUGAAAUCCCCGGGCUCAACCUGGGAACUGCAUCCAAAACUGGCGAGCUAGAGUAUGGUAGAGGGUGGUGGAAUUUCCUGUGUAGCGGUGAAAUGCGUAGAUAUAGGAAGGAACACCAGUGGCGAAGGCGACCACCUGGACUGAUACUGACACUGAGGUGCGAAAGCGUGNGGAGCANACAGGAUUAGAUACCCUGGUAGUCA